GCCCCUGUAGCUCAGAGGACAGAGCAGCAGCCUUCUAAGCUGACGGUCGCAGGUUCGAAUCCUGCCAGGGGCG
This 73-nucleotide transfer RNA is filed under the name Chloroflexota bacterium. RNAcentral's name for it is "tRNA-Arg". It matches the Rfam family "tRNA". Rfam says of the family: Transfer RNA (tRNA) molecules are approximately 80 nucleotides in length. Their secondary structure includes four short double-helical elements and three loops (D, anti-codon, and T loops). Lineage: Bacteria; Bacillati; Chloroflexota. The record is from RNAcentral.